Molecule: ribosomal RNA, 461 nt
Filed under: uncultured Desulfobulbus sp.
Lineage: Bacteria; Pseudomonadati; Thermodesulfobacteriota; Desulfobulbia; Desulfobulbales; Desulfobulbaceae
Description: bacterial SSU rRNA
Rfam family: Bacterial small subunit ribosomal RNA
Source: RNAcentral
ACAAGCGGUGGAGUAUGUGGUUAAUCGAUGCAACGCGAAGAACCUUACCUGGUCUUGACAUCCCGGAGACCCUUAGGAAACUAGGGGGUGCUUCCAUCUGGAAGAAUCUGGAGACAGGUGCUGCAUGGCUGUCGUCAGCUCGUGUCGUGAGAUGUUGGGUUAAGUCCCGCAACGAGCGCAACCCUUGCCUUUAGUUGCCAGCAGUUCGGCUGGGCACUCUAAAGGGACUGCCGGUGUUAAACCGGAGGAAGGUGGGGAUGACGUCAAGUCCUCAUGGCCUUUAUGACCAGGGCUACACACGUACUACAAUGGCCGAUACAAAGGGCAGCGACACUGCGAGGUGAAGCCAAUCCCGUAAAAUCGGUCUCAGUCCGGAUUGGAGUCUGCAACUCGACUCCAUGAAGUUGGAAUCGCUAGUAAUCGUGGAUCAGCAUGCCACGGUGAAUACGUUCCCGGGCCUU